Molecule: ribosomal RNA, 248 nt
Filed under: uncultured bacterium
Lineage: Bacteria
Description: partial 16S ribosomal RNA
Rfam family: Bacterial small subunit ribosomal RNA
Source: RNAcentral
GCAAGUCGAGCGGUAACAGGGGAGCUUGCUCCUGCUGACGAGCGGCGGACGGGUGAGUAACGCGUAGGAAUCUGCCUAGUAGAGGGGGACAACAUGUGGAAACGCAUGCUAAUACCGCAUACGCCCUAAGGGGGAAAGGAGGGGAUCUUCGGACCUUUCGCUAUUAGAUGAGCCUGCGUAAGAUUAGCUAGUUGGUGGGGUAAAGGCCUACCAAGGCGACGAUCUUUAACUGGUCUGAGAGGAUGGCC